GGGGGUGUAGCUCAGUUUGGCUAGAGCGUCUCGGUCGCAUCGAGAAGGUCGUGGGUUCGAGUCCCAUCACCUCCACCA
This 78-nucleotide transfer RNA is filed under the name Acidimicrobiia bacterium. RNAcentral's name for it is "tRNA-Ala". It matches the Rfam family "tRNA". From Rfam's summary of the family: Transfer RNA (tRNA) molecules are approximately 80 nucleotides in length. Their secondary structure includes four short double-helical elements and three loops (D, anti-codon, and T loops). Further hydrogen bonds mediate the characteristic L-shaped molecular structure. tRNAs have two regions of fundamental functional importance: the anti-codon, which is responsible for specific mRNA codon recognition, and the 3' end, to which the tRNAs corresponding amino acid is attached (by aminoacyl-tRNA synthetases). tRNAs cope with the degeneracy of the genetic code in two manners: having more than one tRNA (with a specific anti-codon) for a particular amino acid; and 'wobble' base-pairing, i.e. permitting non-standard base-pairing at the 3rd anti-codon position. Lineage: Bacteria; Bacillati; Actinomycetota; Acidimicrobiia. The record is from RNAcentral.